CUACGGGUGGCUCCAGUCGGGAAACUUCUACAAUGCACGCAAGUGUGAUAGAGCAAGCCAGAGUGCUUUCCUAUAAUUGGAAAGCUUUUGUGAGAUGCAAAAAGUCUCACGAAUAAGGACUGGGAAAGACUGGUGCCAGCCGCCGCGGUAAUACCAGCGGUCCAAGUAGCAGCCACUUUUAUUGGGUCUAAAACAUCCGUAGCUUGUUUUGUAAGUCUCUUGUGAAAUCUGAUAUCUUAAGUAUUGGGCGUGCAAGAGAUACUGCAAGGCUAGAGACCGGGAGACGUAAGGAGUACGGUUAGGGUAGCAGUAAAAUGCGUUGAUCCUUUCUGGACUAACGAUAGCGAAGGCACCUUACGAGAACGGAUCUGACAGUGAGGGAUGAAGGCUAGGGGCGCAAAACGGAUUAGAUACCCCCGUAGUC
RNAcentral lists this ribosomal RNA (424 nucleotides) under uncultured archaeon. Its description in RNAcentral is "partial 16S ribosomal RNA". It matches the Rfam family "Archaeal small subunit ribosomal RNA", at positions 323 to 746 of the family's 1478-position model. The record is from RNAcentral.